Molecule: ribosomal RNA, 484 nt
Filed under: uncultured bacterium
Lineage: Bacteria
Description: partial 16S ribosomal RNA
Rfam family: Bacterial small subunit ribosomal RNA
Source: RNAcentral
AUUGAACGCUGGCGGCAGGCCUAACACAUGCAAGUCGAGCGGAUGAAGGGAGCUUGCUCCUGGAUUCAGCGGCGGACGGGUGAGUAAUGCCUAGGAAUCUGCCUGGUAGUGGGGGAUAACGUCCGAAAACGGGCGCUAAUACCGCAUACGUCCUGAGGUAGAAAGUGGGGGAUCUUCGGACCUCCCGCUAUCAGAUGAGCCUAGUUCGGAUUAGCUAGUUGGUGGGGUAAAGGCCUACCAAGGCGACGAUCCGUAACUGGUCUGAGAGGAUGAUCAGUCACACUGGAACUGAGACAUGGUCCAGACUCCUACGGGAGGCAGCAGUGGGGAAUAUUGGACAAUGGGCGAAAGCCUGAUCCAGCCAUGCCGCGUGUGUGAAGAAGGUCUUCGGAUUGUAAAGCACUUUAAGUUGGGAGGAAGGGCAGUAAGUUAAUACCUUGCUGUUUUGACGUUACCAACAGAAUAAGCACCGGCUAACUUCGUG